This 682-nucleotide long non-coding RNA is filed under the name Rattus norvegicus (Norway rat). Its description in RNAcentral is "long non-coding RNA NONRATT022417". Lineage: Eukaryota; Metazoa; Chordata; Mammalia; Rodentia; Muridae. The record is from RNAcentral.
GAAACGUUCUCAAGCAAAGGUGACACAAGCCACACCUUACUGUCAACAACUAGAAAGUUCAAGACAUCUGUUUCCUUCACAAUGCCUAUGAGCGCUAACAGUAACCGAGACUCAACAUUAACUGAACCAAACUUAAAGGAUUGGCAGUGUGCACAAUCAAGAGGCUGCUUCUUUUUAGAGGAAGAUGGUGAAGUUGUCAGUCAUCAGUACAAAAUGCACAUAGCUCAGAGAUCUGUGCUUUACCUGACAAUUAAGCCAUUGAAUCUGAGUCAAGUUGAAGGAAAACAUUCUCCCUGGUUAUCGGUUGAUACAGCCUUAUAUAUUCUUAAGAAAAAUGAGAAUCCAGCAGAGGCACAGCUCAUGUGUUUUACCGAACUACGAAACAGAGAAGUGUUUGGAUGGACUGGUGAACUAGAACCAGGAAUUUAUUGGCUAAUUCCUUCCACAACUGGAUGUAGGCUAAGAAAAGAAACAAAACCAGUAACAGAAGAAGUCCAACUUGUACAUAGAGAUGAAACAGGGGAAUUAUCUCUUACAAGUGAGUUUAGGUCAACUCUAUCAGAGAUAUUUGAAAUAAUUGAUUUAGAUGGCAAUGGUCUUAUUAGCCUUGAAGAGUACAAUUUUUUUGAGUUGAGAACAAGUGGUGAAAAGUGUGAUGAGGACGCUUGGGCUGUCUGCAGAG